UACUGCAUAACGUCGCAAGACCAAAGUGGGGGACCUUCGGGCCUCAUGCCAUCAGAUGUGCCCAGAUGGGAUUAGCUAGUAGGUGGGGUAACGGCUCACCUAGGCGACGAUCCCUAGCUGGUCUGAGAGGAUGACCAGCCACACUGGAACUGAGACACGGUCCAGACUCCUACGGGAGGCAGCAGUGGGGAAUAUUGCACAAUGGGCGCAAGCCUGAUGCAGCCAUGCCGCGUGUGUGAAGAAGGCCUUCGGGUUGUAAAGCACUUUCAGCGGGGAGGAAGGCGGUGAGGUUAAUAACCUCACCGAUUGACGUUCCCCGCAGAAGAAGCACCGGCUAACUCCGUGCCAGCAGCCGCGGUAAUACGGAGGGUGCAAGCGUUAAUCGGAAUUACUGGGCGUAAAGCGCAC
Molecule: ribosomal RNA, 408 nt
Filed under: Klebsiella variicola
Lineage: Bacteria; Pseudomonadati; Pseudomonadota; Gammaproteobacteria; Enterobacterales; Enterobacteriaceae
Description: bacterial SSU rRNA
Rfam family: Bacterial small subunit ribosomal RNA
Source: RNAcentral